GCGGCGGACGGGUGAGUAACACGUGGGCAACCUGCCCUGCAGACUGGGAUAACUUCGGGAAACCGGAGCUAAUACCGGAUAACACCGAAAACCGCAUGGUUUUCGGUUGAAAGGCGGCUUUUACCUGUCACUGCAGGAUGGGCCCGCGGCGCAUUACCUAGUUGGUGAGGUAACGGCUCACCAAGGCGACAAUGCGUAGCCAACCUGAAAGGGUGACCGGCCACACUGGGACUGAAACACGGCCCAAACUCCUACGGGAGGCAGCAGUAGGGAAUCUUCCGCAAUGGACGAAAGUCUGACGGAGCAACGCCGCGUGAGCGAAGAAGGUCUUCGGAUCGUAAAGCUCUGUUGUCAGGGAAGAACAAGUGCCGUUCGAACAGGGCGGUACCUUGACGGUACCUGACGAGGAAGCCACGGCUAACUACGUGCCAGCAGCCGCGGUAAUAC
Molecule: ribosomal RNA, 447 nt
Filed under: Aeribacillus sp. H01D026
Lineage: Bacteria; Bacillati; Bacillota; Bacilli; Caryophanales; Bacillaceae
Description: bacterial SSU rRNA
Rfam family: Bacterial small subunit ribosomal RNA
Source: RNAcentral